UUGAUUAUAUCAAAACAAGACGAUCAUGUUAAGGUUCAAACACUUGAAACCAUCUAAAAUAAAUAUAUUCAUGCAUGUCCUAAUUCCUAAACUUGAUUAAUUACCUUAAUCCAUUUAAGUUUUUAAAUAAAAAAUAGUUACAAUAAUAUCUCAGUAAAACCAAAGAUUACAAAGUAAAUAUUAAGCAUACAUAGUAAAAAUUUAAAAAAAAAAAAAAAACAACAACAACAACAACAAAUUCCCACACACUUGUAGACUAAUGGUAAGGUUCAUUUGGUAUUUAAGUACAAUACUCAGC
This 298-nucleotide long non-coding RNA is filed under the name Salvia miltiorrhiza (redroot sage). RNAcentral's name for it is "long non-coding RNA (SMIL_LNC011782)". The record is from RNAcentral. Lineage: Eukaryota; Viridiplantae; Streptophyta; Magnoliopsida; Lamiales; Lamiaceae.